RNAcentral lists this transfer RNA (140 nucleotides) under Candidatus Nanosalina sp. J07AB43. It matches the Rfam family "tRNA". Rfam says of the family: Transfer RNA (tRNA) molecules are approximately 80 nucleotides in length. Their secondary structure includes four short double-helical elements and three loops (D, anti-codon, and T loops). Lineage: Archaea; Methanobacteriati; Methanobacteriota; Candidatus Nanohaloarchaea. The record is from Rfam by way of RNAcentral.
GAGUCUGUAGCUCAGCUUGGACAGAGCGAUCGGCUUCUAAACCUCAGGGCUCUCCGAAUAGGAGGAAAGAGGAUAGAGAAGAUGCUUAGUCUUCAACUGAAGAUACCGAUCGGUCGAGGGUUCAAAUCCCUCCGGACUCG